This 251-nucleotide ribosomal RNA is filed under the name uncultured prokaryote. RNAcentral describes it as "partial 16S ribosomal RNA". It matches the Rfam family "Bacterial small subunit ribosomal RNA", at positions 525 to 775 of the family's 1533-position model. The record is from RNAcentral.
ACGGAGGGUGCGAGCGUUAAUCGGAAUUACUGGGCGUAAAGCGUGCGUAGGCGGUUUCGUAAGUCGGAUGUGAAAGCCCCGGGCUCAACCUGGGAAUUGCAUUCGAGACUGCGAGGCUCGAGUGCGGAAGAGGGAAGUGGAAUUUCCGGUGUAGCGGUGAAAUGCGUAGAUAUCGGAAGGAACAUCGGCGGCGAAAGCGACACCCUGGGCCGUACCUGACGCUAAGACGCGACAGCACGGGGAGCGAACGG